GAUGAAGAACGUAGUGAAAUGCGAUAAGUAGUGUGAAUUGCAGAAUUCAGUGAAUCAUCGAAUCUUUGAACGCACAUUGCGCCCCAUGGUAUUCCGUGGGGCAUGCCUGUUCGAGCGUCAUUUACCCCCUCAAGCUCCGCUUGGUGUUGGGCGUCUGUCCCGCUUCGCGCGCGGACUCGCCCCAAAGGUAUUGGCAGCGGUCGUGCCAGCUUCUCGCGCAGCACAUUGCGCUUCUCGAGGCACCGGUGGGCCCGCGUCCAUCAAGCUCACCCCCCCAGUUUGACCUCGGAUCAGGUAGGGAUACCCGCUGAACUUAAGCAUAUCAAUAAGCGGAGA
RNAcentral lists this unclassified non-coding RNA (336 nucleotides) under soil metagenome. Its description in RNAcentral is "partial contains 5.8S ribosomal RNA, internal transcribed spacer 2, and large subunit ribosomal RNA". The stretch from base 1 to 120 matches the Rfam family "5.8S ribosomal RNA", at positions 35 to 154 of the family's 154-position model. The record is from RNAcentral.